Unclassified non-coding RNA from Cebus imitator (Panamanian white-faced capuchin), 102 nucleotides. It matches the Rfam family "Y RNA". Rfam says of the family: Y RNAs are components of the Ro ribonucleoprotein particle (Ro RNP), in association with Ro60 and La proteins. The Y RNAs and Ro60 and La proteins are well conserved, but the function of the Ro RNP is not known. The record is from Ensembl. Lineage: Eukaryota; Metazoa; Chordata; Mammalia; Primates; Cebidae.
GGCUGGUCCGAGUGCAGCGGUGUUUAUGACUAAUUGAUCACAACCAGUUACAGAUUUCUUUGUUCCUUCUCCAUUCCCACUGCUUCACUUGACUAGCCUUUA